Molecule: ribosomal RNA, 256 nt
Filed under: uncultured bacterium
Lineage: Bacteria
Description: partial 16S ribosomal RNA
Rfam family: Bacterial small subunit ribosomal RNA
Source: RNAcentral
UACAGAGGUGCCAAGCGUUAGGCGGAAUCACUGGGCUUAAAGCGCGCGUAGGCGGCUUUGCAAGUCGGGUGUGAAAUCCCCCAGGCUUAACCUGGGAACUGCAUUCGAGACUGCAUUGCUAGAGUAUGGGAGAGGAAACUGGAAUUUACGGGUGUAGCAGUGAAAUGCGUAGAGAUCGUAAGGAAGACCAGUGGCGAAGGCGAGUUUCUGGACAGUUACUGACGCUGAGGCACGAAGGCCAGGGGAGCAAACGGGG